This 79-nucleotide transfer RNA is filed under the name Thermoprotei archaeon. RNAcentral describes it as "tRNA-Gly". It matches the Rfam family "tRNA". Rfam says of the family: Transfer RNA (tRNA) molecules are approximately 80 nucleotides in length. The record is from RNAcentral. Lineage: Archaea; Thermoproteati; Thermoproteota; Thermoprotei.
GCGGCCGUCGCCUAGCCUGGACUAGGGCGCCGGCCCUCCGCGCCGGAGGACCCGGGUUCGAAUCCCGGCGGCCGCACCA